AAGUAGUGCCUAUGCGCUAUUUAGUGGCAAACGGGUGAGUAACACGUAGCUUAGCUGUCCUAAAGUGGGGGAUAGCCGCGGAAAGCCGCGGGUAAUACCGCAUGUGAUCUACGGAUUAAAGCUUAAUGCGCUUUAGGAGGUGGCUGCGGCCCAUCAGGUUGUUGGCGGGGUAAUGGCCCACCAAGCCUAUGACGGGUAUCCGGCCUGAGAGGGUGAUCGGACACAUUGGAACUGAGACACGGUCCAGACUCCUACGGGAGACAGCAGCUAGGAAUUUUCCGCAAUGGACGAAAGUCUGACGGAGCAACGCCGCGUGAAGGAUGAAGGUCUUUAGGGAUUGUAAACUUCUUUUAUAUGAGACGAGUAAGGACGGUAUCAUAAGAAUAAGUCCCGGCUAACUACGUGCCAGCAGCCGCGGUAAUACGUAGGGGGCUAGCGUUGUUCGGAAUUACUGGGUAUAAAGGGUGCGCAGGCGGAUUUCUAAGCAAGAGGUGAAAUGUCAAGGUUCAACCAUGGCACUGCCUUUUGAACUGGUUAUCUGGAGUACAGAAGGGGAGAGCAGAAUUUCCGGUGUAGGGGUGGAAUCUAUAGAUAUCGGAAGGAAUACCGUUCGCGAAGGCGGCUCUCUGGUCUGCUACUGACGCUCAUGCA
This 651-nucleotide ribosomal RNA is filed under the name uncultured bacterium. RNAcentral describes it as "bacterial SSU rRNA". It matches the Rfam family "Bacterial small subunit ribosomal RNA", at positions 69 to 753 of the family's 1533-position model. The record is from RNAcentral.